AUACGGAGGAUCCGAGCGUUAUCCGGAUUUAUUGGGUUUAAAGGGUGCGCAGGCGGGAGAUUAAGUCGGCGGUGAAAUUUUUCAGCUCAACUGUAAAAGUGCCUUCGACACUGGUUUCCUUUAGUGUAGAUGAAGUAGGCGGAAUUUGUGGUUUAGCUGUGAAAUGCAUAGAUAUCGCGAGGCACUCCGAGUGCGAAGGCAGCGUGCUAAACUACUACUGACGCUCAGGCACGAAGUCGUGGGGAUAAAACAGGAUUAGAUAACCUGGUAGUCCACGCAGUAAACGAUGAUUACUAGCUGUUUGCGAUACAAUGUAAGCGGCUGAGCGAAAGCGUUAAGUAAUCCACCUGGGGAGUACGUUCGCAAGAAUGAAACUCAAAUGAAUUGGCGGGG
Molecule: ribosomal RNA, 393 nt
Filed under: uncultured bacterium
Lineage: Bacteria
Description: partial 16S ribosomal RNA
Rfam family: Bacterial small subunit ribosomal RNA
Source: RNAcentral